RNAcentral lists this long non-coding RNA (632 nucleotides) under Zea mays. RNAcentral describes it as "long non-coding RNA (ZMAY_LNC003486)". The record is from RNAcentral. Lineage: Eukaryota; Viridiplantae; Streptophyta; Magnoliopsida; Poales; Poaceae.
CCCCUCACACGUCGCUUUCCUUGGCCAGUUCGGUCGCCUCGCCUAGCUGAAGCCUGGAGCCAAGCAACAAGUAGCAUUAGCUUAGCUGACACGAAUAACACAGAGUGCUAGUACUUGUAUAUAUACACGCAUAGUAAUAUAGUAUGAUACGUUGGGCUUGGCACGGCAUGUGAAAGACCUGCCGGUUCCAGCUGACAUGAAGCGAAACGGCCAGGCAGAAAAGCUCGUGUAUGUAGCCGCGCGCCGUGCCAAGGCCAAAACGCAAGCCUUUGAGCUAGGACGGCCAAGAAGCCAGAGCCCCGCAUGGCCAUCCACGUCGCUCUCGUGGGCACGAUCCAUCUCCGCGUUCUCACGGCCGGAGAUAAGUGUUCCCUCCCGUCCCGUCCCGUCCCGUCCCGUCCCUUUUUAGCAGAAAGAAAAGCUGCCAGGGUUAAUUAGGGGACCGCACCUGAUGACUACUUUGGUAAAUCCUCUUCGGGGUCGAAGUGGAUUAGGUGAAAAUCAGCUAAUUUUCUCUCCAAUCACCUUCAAUCUCGAAGAUGAUUUGAGUUUUCAAACUCUUGCUCGAGAGGUGUGGUGGCCCAUCGUGCCGUGGCAUGUGCACAUGUAUUCCUCGGGGGCAUGGAUGCGCC